RNAcentral lists this non-coding RNA (31 nucleotides) under Homo sapiens (human). Lineage: Eukaryota; Metazoa; Chordata; Mammalia; Primates; Hominidae. The record is from RNAcentral.
UGAGACUCUAUCCAUGUCUGCGAUGGAAUCU